AGAGUUUGAUCCUGGCUCAGAAUAAAUGCUAUCGGUAUGCUUAACACAUGCAAGUUAAAUGUAUUUAAAACAUAGCGGACGGGUGAGUAACACGUGAAUUAUCUACCUUUUAAUUCAGAAUAAUUAUUUUUAUAAAAAUACUGAAUAAAUAAAUUAAAGUUUUUAACGUUAAAAGAUGAGUUUGCGUAAGAUUAUGGUAGUUGGUAGUUUAAAAGACCUACCAAGCCUUUUAUCUUUAGCUGGUUUGAAAGAACGAUCAGCCACAUUGGAACUGAGACACGGCCCAAACUUUUUUAAAGGCAGCAGUGGGGAAUUUUGGACAAUGAGCGAAAGCUUGAUCCAGUAAUACCGAGUGAGUGAAGAAGGCUAAUUAGGUUGUAAAGCUCUUUCAUUAAGGAGGAAAAUGACAGUACUUAAAAAAGAAGUUCCGGCUAAUACCCGUGCCAGCAGCCGCGGUAAUACGGGAGGAGCGAGCAUUAUUCGGAAUGAUUAGGCGUAAAGAGUUUGUAGGUGGUUUUUUAAGUUGAAAGAAACAAAUUAAAGCUCAACUUUAUACAUUUUUUCAAAACUGAUAAACUAGAGUAUAAAUAGAGGAUAAUGGAAUUUCUAUUGGAGUGAUAAAAUACGUUGAUAAUAGAAGGAAGGCCUAUGGCGAAGGCAAUUAUCUGGGUAUAUACUGACACUGAGAAACGAAAGCUUGGGUAGCGAACGGGAUUAGAUACCCCGGUAGUCCAUGCCGUAAACGAUGAGUGCUAAUAUUUAGAAUUUUUAGAUAUAACAGCUAACGCGUUAAGCACUCCGCCUGAAAAGUAUAAUCGCAAGAUUGAAAUUCAAAGGAAUUGACGGGAGUCUACACAAGCGGUGGAGCAUGUGGUUUAAUUCGAUAAUACGCGCAAAACCUUACCAACUCUUGCUAAUUUUUAUAUAAAAUUUUAUAUAAAAAACAGGUGUUGCAUGGCUGUCGUCAGCUCGUGUUGUGAAAUGUUUGGUUAAAUCCUUUAACGAGCGCAACCCCUAUUGUUAGUUGC
This 1028-nucleotide ribosomal RNA is filed under the name Sclerospora graminicola. Its description in RNAcentral is "bacterial SSU rRNA". It matches the Rfam family "Bacterial small subunit ribosomal RNA", at positions 8 to 1118 of the family's 1533-position model. The record is from RNAcentral. Lineage: Eukaryota; Oomycota; Peronosporomycetes; Peronosporales; Peronosporaceae.